This 294-nucleotide ribosomal RNA is filed under the name uncultured bacterium. Its description in RNAcentral is "partial 16S ribosomal RNA". It matches the Rfam family "Bacterial small subunit ribosomal RNA", at positions 333 to 643 of the family's 1533-position model. The record is from RNAcentral.
CAUUUCCUACGGGGCGCAGCAGUGGGGAAUAUUGCACAAUGGGGGAAACCCUGAUGCAGCGACGCCGCGUGAGUGAAGAAGUAUUUCGGUAUGUAAAGCUCUAUCAGCAGGGAAGAAAAAAGACGGUAUCUGACUAAGAAGCCCCGGCUAACUACGUGCCAGCAGCCGCGGUAAUACGUAGGGGGCAAGCGUUAUCCGGAUUUACUGGGUGUAAAGGGAGCGUAGGCGGCGAUGCAAGUCAGAAGUGAAAGCCCGGGGCUCAACUCCGGGACUGCUUUUGAAACUGUAUGGCUA